GAGUUUGAUCCUGGCUCAGGACGAACGCUGGCGGCGUGCUUAACACAUGCAGGUGGAGCGACGAACCGGGGCUUGCCCCGGGGCAGAGCCGCGAACGGGUGAGUAACACGUGGGUAACCCACCCCGAUGAUUGGGACAACCCGGGGAAACUCGGGCUAAUACCAAAUGUGCUCGUAGGCCAUGAGGUCCACGAGUAAAGAUAGCUUCGGCCUUCGCAUCGGGACGGGCCCGCGGCCCAUUAGCUUGUUGGUGAGGUAACGGCUCACCAAGGCGACGAUGGGUAGCUGGUCUGAGAGGACGAUCAGCCACACUGGGACUGAGACACGGCCCAGACUCCUACGGGAGGCAGCAGUGGGGAAUCUUGCGCAAUGCGCGAAAGCGUGACGCAGCAACGCCGCGUGGAGGAAGACGGUCUUCGGAUUGUAAACUCCUUUCAGUUGGGACGAAGCUCAACGGGUUAAUAGCCCGGUGGAGUGACGGUACCUUCAGAAGAAGCCCCGGCUAACUACGUGCCAGCAGCUGCAGUAAU
This 529-nucleotide ribosomal RNA is filed under the name uncultured bacterium. Its description in RNAcentral is "bacterial SSU rRNA". It matches the Rfam family "Bacterial small subunit ribosomal RNA", at positions 9 to 524 of the family's 1533-position model. The record is from RNAcentral.